Molecule: ribosomal RNA, 34 nt
Filed under: Gongora sp. SRR-2011
Lineage: Eukaryota; Viridiplantae; Streptophyta; Magnoliopsida; Asparagales; Orchidaceae
Description: partial 18S ribosomal RNA
Source: RNAcentral
GGUUUCUGUAGGUGAACCUGUNGAAGGAUCAUUG